This 111-nucleotide non-coding RNA is filed under the name Salipiger profundus. RNAcentral describes it as "Thiobacimonas profunda TPP sequence". It matches the Rfam family "TPP riboswitch aptamer (THI element)". Rfam says of the family: Vitamin B(1) in its active form thiamin pyrophosphate (TPP) is an essential coenzyme that is synthesised by coupling of pyrimidine and thiazole moieties in bacteria. The previously detected thiamin-regulatory element, thi box was extended, resulting in a new, highly conserved RNA secondary structure, the THI element, which is widely distributed in eubacteria and also occurs in some archaea. Lineage: Bacteria; Pseudomonadati; Pseudomonadota; Alphaproteobacteria; Rhodobacterales; Roseobacteraceae. The record is from Rfam by way of RNAcentral.
CCCGAUACCUCGGGGUGUCCGGCCGAUCCGCGGCCGGGCUGAGAUGCAUCUUGCGAACCCGUUGAACCUGAACCGGUUAACACCGGCGGAGGGAAGGUGACGGCCUCGCGC